RNAcentral lists this ribosomal RNA (1370 nucleotides) under uncultured bacterium. RNAcentral's name for it is "bacterial SSU rRNA". It matches the Rfam family "Bacterial small subunit ribosomal RNA". The record is from RNAcentral.
AGAGUUCGAUCCUGGUUCAGGACGAACGCUGGCGGCGCGCCUAACACAUGCAAGUCGAACGAGAGAGAGGGAGCUUGCUUCCUCAAUCGAGUGGCGAACGGGUGAGUAACGCGUGAGGAACCUGCCUCAAAGAGGGGGACAACAGUUGGAAACGACUGCUAAUACCGCAUAAGCCCACAGGUCAGCAUCGACCAGAGGGAAAAGGAGCAAUCCGCUUUGAGAUGGCCUCGCGUCCGAUUAGCUGGUUGGUGAGGUAAUGGCCCACCAAGGCGACGAUCGGUAGCCGGACUGAGAGGUUGAACGGCCACAUUGGGACUGAGACACGGCCCAGACUCCUACGGGAGGCAGCAGUGGGGAAUAUUGCACAAUGGGGGAAACCCUGGUGCAGCGACGCCGCGUGGAGGAAGAAGGUCUUCGGAUUGUAAACUCCUGUUGUUGAGGAAGAUAAUGACGGUACUCAACAAGGAAGUGACGGCUAACUACGUGCCAGCAGCCGCGGUAAAACGUAGGUCACAAGCGUUGUCCGGAAUUACUGGGUGUAAAGGGAGCGCAGGCGGGAAGACAAGUUGGAAGUGAAAUCUAUGGGCUCAACCCAUAAACUGCUUUCAAAACUGUUUUUCUUGAGUAGUGCAGAGGUAGGCGGAAUUCCCGCGUGUAGCGGUGGAAUGCGUAGAUAUCGGGAGGAACACCAGUGGCGAAGGCGGGCUACUGGGCACCAACUGACGCUGAGGCUCGAAAGUGUGGGUAGCANACAGGAUUAGAUACCCUGGUAGUCCACACCGUAAACGAUGAUUACUAGGUGUUGGAGGAUUGACCCCUUCAGUGCCGCAGUUAACACAAUAAGUAAUCCACCUGGGGAGUACGACCGCAAGGUUGAAACUCAAAGGAAUUGACGGGGGCCCGCACAAGCAGUGGAGUAUGUGGUUUAAUUCGACGCAACGCGAAGAACCUUACCAAGUCUUGACAUCCUGCGACGCACAUAGAAAUAUGUCUUUCCUUCGGGACGCAGAGACAGGUGGUGCAUGGUUGUCGUCAGCUCGUGUCGUGAGAUGUUGGGUUAAGUCCCGCAACGAGCGCAACCCUUACUGUCAGUUACUACGCAAGAGGACUCUGGCAGGACUGCCGUUGACAAAACGGAGGAAGGUGGGGAUGACGUCAAAUCAUCAUGCCCUUUAUGACUUGGGCUACACACGUACUACAAUGGCGUUAAACAAAGAGAAGCAAGACCGCGAGGUGGAGCAAAACUCAGAAACAACGUCCCAGUUCGGACUGCAGGCUGCAACUCGCCUGCACGAAGUCGGAAUUGCUAGUAAUCGUGGAUCAGCAUGCCACGGUGAAUACGUUCCCGGGCCUUGUACACACCGCCCGUC